UACGGAAGGCAGCAGUGGGGAAUAUUGCACAAUGGGCGCAAGCCUGAUGCAGCCAUGCCGCGUGUAUGAAAAAGGCCUUCGGGUUGUAAAGUACUUUCAGUCGUGAGGAAGGUGUUAAGGUUAAUAACCUUAGCAAUUGACGUUAGCGACAGAAGAAGCACCGGCUAACUCCGUGCCAGCAGCCGCGGUAAUACGGAGGGUGCGAGCGUUAAUCGGAAUUACUGGGCGUAAAGGGCACGCAGGCGGUUAAUUAAGUUGGAUGUGAAAUCCCCGGGCUUAACCUGGGAAUGGCAUUCAAGACUGGUUAGCUAGAGUCUUGUAGAGGGGGUUAGAAGUUCCAUGUGUAGCGGUGAAAUGCGUAGAGAUGUGGAGGAAUACCGGUGGCGAAGGCGGCCCCUGGACAAAGACUGACGCUCAUGUGCGAAAGCGUGGGGAGCGAAACAGGGAUUAGAUACC
This 456-nucleotide ribosomal RNA is filed under the name uncultured bacterium. RNAcentral's name for it is "bacterial SSU rRNA". It matches the Rfam family "Bacterial small subunit ribosomal RNA", at positions 340 to 786 of the family's 1533-position model. The record is from RNAcentral.